GAGAAAAUGAUGGUGAUGUGUUGAGUAUGCUAUGAUGAUGAUGACUGAGUACUUGGAGUCUCUCGAGGGGUCCCCACCAUUCAUUUUGAAAGCCCUAUGUGCUGCUUCCGGAGUAGCAAACUCAACAUGACCAAAGCCCUUGAGCCUCUCGUCUGCAUCACAAUGGAUGGUGUUCACAUGUAUUGGAGCCGACAUCGAGCCUUUGUCUAAACUCAUAGCUUGAC
Molecule: long non-coding RNA, 224 nt
Filed under: Vitis vinifera (wine grape)
Lineage: Eukaryota; Viridiplantae; Streptophyta; Magnoliopsida; Vitales; Vitaceae
Description: long non-coding RNA (VVIN_LNC007247)
Source: RNAcentral